This 399-nucleotide ribosomal RNA is filed under the name uncultured bacterium. Its description in RNAcentral is "bacterial SSU rRNA". It matches the Rfam family "Bacterial small subunit ribosomal RNA", at positions 32 to 428 of the family's 1533-position model. The record is from RNAcentral.
AAUCAACGCUGGCGGCGUGCCUCAGACAUGCAAGUCGAACGAUUAAAGCUCUCUUCGGAGAGUGCAUAGAGUGGCGCACGGGUGAGUAACACGUAAGUAAUCUACCCUCGAGUGGGGAAUAACGUCCGGAAACGGACGCUAAUACCGCAUAAUGCAGCGGCACCGCAAGGUGACAGUUGUUAAAGAUUUAUCGCUUGAGGAGGAGCUUGCGGCAGAUUAGCUAGUUGGUAAGGUAAUGGCUUACCAAGGCUACGAUCUGUAACCGGUCUAAGAGGACGGUCGGUCACACUGACACUGAAUAACGGGUCAGACUCCUACGGGAGGCAGCAGUCGGGAAUUUGGGCAAUGGGCGAAAGCCUGACCCAGCAACGCCGCGUGAAGGAUGACGGCCUGGUGUAA